CCAGGGCGGCAGCUUACCAUGCAAGUCGAACGCCCUGGUAACAGGGAGUGGCAGACGGGUGGGUAACGCGUGGGAACGUACCCUUUACUACGGAAUAACUCAGGGAAACUUGUGCUAAUACCGUAUGUGCCCUUCGGGGGAAAGAUUUAUCGGUAAAGGAUCGGCCCGCGUUGGAUUAGCUAGUUGGUGGGGUAAAGGCCUACCAAGGCGACGAUCCAUAGCUGGUCUGAGAGGAUGAUCAGCCACAUUGGGACUGAGACACGGCCCAAACUCCUACGGGAGGCAGCAGUGGGGAAUAUUGGACAAUGGGCGCAAGCCUGAUCCAGCCAUGCCGCGUGAGCGAUGAAGGCCCUAGGGUUGUAAAGCUCUUUCACCGGUGAAGAUAAUGACGGUAACCGGAGAAGAAGCCCCGGCUAACUUCGUGCCAGCAGCCGCGGUAAUACGAAGGGGGCUAGCGUUGUUCGGAAUUACUGGGCGUAAAGCGCACGUAGGCGGGUAUUUAAGUCAGGGGUGAAAUCCCAGAGCUCAACUCUGGAACUGCCUUUGAUACUGGGUACCUAGAGUAUGGAAGAGGUAAGUGGAAUUCCGAGUGUAGAGGUGAAAUUCGUAGAUAUUCGGAGGAACACCAGUGGCGAAGGCGGCUUACUGGUCCAUUACUGACGCUGAGGUG
This 670-nucleotide ribosomal RNA is filed under the name Rhizobium gallicum. RNAcentral describes it as "bacterial SSU rRNA". It matches the Rfam family "Bacterial small subunit ribosomal RNA", at positions 36 to 753 of the family's 1533-position model. The record is from RNAcentral. Lineage: Bacteria; Pseudomonadati; Pseudomonadota; Alphaproteobacteria; Hyphomicrobiales; Rhizobiaceae.